RNAcentral lists this ribosomal RNA (494 nucleotides) under uncultured bacterium. RNAcentral describes it as "partial 16S ribosomal RNA". It matches the Rfam family "Bacterial small subunit ribosomal RNA", at positions 28 to 507 of the family's 1533-position model. The record is from RNAcentral.
GACGAACGCUGGCGGCGUGCCUAAUACAUGCAAGUAGAACGCUGAAGGAGGAGCUUGCUUCUCUGGAUGAGUUGCGAACGGGUGAGUAACGCGUAGGUAACCUGCCUGGUAGCGGGGGAUAACUAUUGGAAACGAUAGCUAAUACCGCAUAAUAGUAGAUGUUGCAUGACAUUUGCCUAAAAGGUGCAAUUGCAUCACUACCAGAUGGACCUGCGUUGUAUUAGCUAGUUGGUGGGGUAACGGCUCACCAAGGCGACGAUACAUAGCCGACCUGAGAGGGUGACCAGCGAAACGGGAAGUGAGAAAAGGUCAAGAGGCCGAAGGGAGGCAGCAGUGGGGAAUAUGGCAAAAUGGGGGGAAGCAUGAUGCAGAAAUGACGGGUGUAGGAAGAAGGGGUUAGGGGUGGAAAGUACUGGGAGCGGGGAGGAAGGGAGGAAAGGGAAUACCGGUGCGCAGUGACGUUAACCGCAGAAGAAGAAACGGCUAACUCCGGG